GUCUACAGCCUUGCCACCCUGAACAAGCCUGAUGUCUGAUCUCGGAAGCUAAGCAGGGUUGGGCCUGGUUAGUACUUGGAUGGGAGACCACAUAGAAAGACCAGGUGCUGUAGGCA
RNAcentral lists this ribosomal RNA (116 nucleotides) under Pteropus alecto (black flying fox). The record is from RNAcentral. Lineage: Eukaryota; Metazoa; Chordata; Mammalia; Chiroptera; Pteropodidae.